Argiope bruennichi is the source of this 1300-nucleotide long non-coding RNA. RefSeq lists it as uncharacterized. Lineage: Eukaryota; Metazoa; Arthropoda; Arachnida; Araneae; Araneidae. The transcript has 4 exons. The record is from RefSeq and is a predicted model, not a curated record.
UAAACGACGUGACUGACGAAUUGACCUAUUCUGUGAGAGGGAAAUGAUAUAGGAGAAUCGACAAUUCUUCAGCAUUUUUUACGAGUGUCUUAUGGUUGCCUUAUGAAAUAGUUCGUUAUGUCCCUUGUUUGCCAACAGAAGAGCGAAGUAAAUGGUUUGCGGUCAAGUCUGGUGGCGUGAACUCAGUUAUAAUUUCCUUUUGAUGGAAGGUUUAUACCAAAAGGUUCGAGAUCCAAUUCCACCGACGAGCCGUCGUGUAAGCGGGUCUGGUGCACUUUAAAUCCAUCGGGAACAAAUAUCCUCCCGCUGGUGUGGUGUGGAAUUUUGGAAAAGGGGAAUGCCAGCUCAGGUGCCGUGCUCGUCAUCUGACAGUGGCUCUAAAUUACAAGGAAAAAAGAUUUUAUGAAAUUAGAACGACUUCUGAGUUUCAUAGUUUUGAUCGACCAGCCGAAAUUUCUAUAAAAAAAAAGAACUUUAUAUUGAAGUUCCAGCCAAAAGAAACCUUCGCAUAAUUCUUGCCCAAAUAGCCCAAACAUGAACAAGAAUUGGUCCAUGGCAAUAAACAAUAUUGAUUUGUUUCUCCGUCAUUCAGUUGGAUGUGUUUUGAAUGCUACUAGAAAAAGAAAUCUUUGUGAUGUCGUGAUCUUGUCAACAUAACUGAUACGAGGAGAAGAAACACAUUGUUCACGCAUGAAAACAGAUUUCGUUUGUUUUCCGAUUCAAGGCGCCAAUCCAUCAAGUGUUAUUCCAAAACAGCCACUUCUAUCAACAACAUAGAAGUUGAUCAAUACCGUGGUAAUGUUGCGGCCUAGGCACGCACAUUUACGUCUUAGGAAAGGGCAUAACGGAUACAAAAACUUAUAACCAGGAUAUUAUAGUACUUUAAAUAAUCAAUUUUCAUCGUAUUGAUUGAAACUGUUUCAUCAUAGUGCAUAAUAAUACUCGUUAUUAUAGUGUUUUGACAAACGUCUUGAAAAUGAAGCGAUUCUUCGAAACGCAUGGCCUUCGAAGAAUACCUUCUAUUUAUAGAAUUUAUUCCCAUAGAUCACAUAAAGAUGCUCUUGAGCGAGGCAUAGUAGAGAACAAUUUUUCAUCAUUUAGAGAAAAAAAACAUCUGCUUUAUUAAGAAGUAGCAGAAUUUGCCACAAUUUUGACUAGACAAUCUGUUUAAGAGAUGUGCAACUGAUUCUGUAUACGUUAUAAAGGAAAAUGGACAUACACUUAUCUUAAACCUUAUGAAAUAAGUUAUAAGCUAAUUAUUGGACUAUUUCUGCAAAUACAAUGAAUUGAUAUUCUUUCC